AGUUAAUUGUGAAAUCCCAAAGCUUAACUUUGGAACUGCAAUUAAAACUGCUCGACUAGAGUUUGAUAGAGGAAAGCGGAAUACAUAGUGUAGAGGUGAAAUUCGUAGAUAUUAUGUAGAACACCAGUUGCGAAGGCGGCUUUCUGGAUCAACACUGACGCUGAGGCGCGAAAGUAUGGGUAGCAAAGAGGAUUAGAUACCCUCGUAGUCCAUACCAUAAACGAUGAUUGCUAGAUGUUGGAAAUUUAUUUUCAGUAUCGCAGCUAACGCAUUAAGCAAUCCGCCUGGGGAGUACGACCGCAAGGUUAAAACUCAAAUGAAUUGACGGGGACCCGCACAAGCGGUGGAGCAUGUGGUUUAAUUCGAAGAUACGCGCAGAACCUUACCAACCCUUGACAUGUCUGUCGCGAGUUUAGGAAACUAGACUUUUCGGUUCGGCCGGACAGAACACAGGUGCUGCAUGGCUGUCGUCAGCUCGUGUCGUGAGAUGUUGGGUUAAGUCCCGCAACGAGCGCAACCCCUACUUUUAGUUGCCAUCAGGUCAUGCUGGGCACUCUGAAAGAACUGCCAGUGAUAAGCUGGAGGAAGGUGGGGAUGACGUCAAGUCCUCAUGGCCCUUACGGGUUGGGCUACACACGUGCUACAAUGGUAGUGACAAUGAGAUGCAAAGUGGCGACGCUAAGCUAAACUC
RNAcentral lists this ribosomal RNA (691 nucleotides) under uncultured bacterium. RNAcentral describes it as "bacterial SSU rRNA". It matches the Rfam family "Bacterial small subunit ribosomal RNA", at positions 586 to 1275 of the family's 1533-position model. The record is from RNAcentral.